GUUCUGCUGAAGAGUCCCAAACCAGGACGAAAUAGCUGUCCAAUAC
This 46-nucleotide non-coding RNA is filed under the name Trichobilharzia regenti. The record is from RNAcentral. Lineage: Eukaryota; Metazoa; Platyhelminthes; Trematoda; Strigeidida; Schistosomatidae.